Molecule: ribosomal RNA, 61 nt
Filed under: Eubacterium sp.
Lineage: Bacteria; Bacillati; Bacillota; Clostridia; Eubacteriales; Eubacteriaceae
Description: partial 23S ribosomal RNA
Source: RNAcentral
GAGGUGGAAGUGCAGCAAUGGAUGGAGCUGACCGCCACUAAUAGGUCGAAGGCUUGACCGC